UACGUAGGGGGCGAGCGUUGUCCGGAUUUAUUGGGCGUAAAGAGCGUGUAGGCGGCCAUACAGGUCAGCUGUGAAAACUCGAGGCUCAACCUCGAGACGUCGGUUGAAACCGUAUGGCUAGAGUCCGGAAGAGGAGAGUGGAAUUCCCGGUGUAGCGGUGAAAUGCGCAGAUAUCGGGAGGAACACCAGUGGCGAAGGCGGCUCUCUGGGCCCUACCUGACGCUGAGACGCGAAAGCGUGGGGAGCGAACCGG
Molecule: ribosomal RNA, 253 nt
Filed under: uncultured bacterium
Lineage: Bacteria
Description: partial 16S ribosomal RNA
Rfam family: Bacterial small subunit ribosomal RNA
Source: RNAcentral